GUAGGUGGCAAGCGUUGUCCGGAAUUAUUGGGCGUAAAGCGCGCGCAGGCGGUUCUUUAAGUCUGAUGUGAAAGCCCACGGCUCAACCGUGGAGGGUCAUUGGAAACUGGAGAACUUGAGUACAGAAGAGGAAAGCGGAAUUCCACGUGCAGCGGUGAAAUGCGUAGAGAUGUGGAGGAACACCAGUGGCGAAGGCGGCUUUCUGGUCUGUAACUGACGCUGAGGCGCGAAAGCGUGGGGGAGCAAACAGGAUUAGAUACCCUGGUAGUCCACGCCGUAAACGAUGAGUGCUAAGUGUUAGGGGGUUUCCGCCCCUUAGUGCUGCAGCUAACGCAUUAAGCACUCCCGCCUGGGAGUACGGCCGCAAGGCUG
Molecule: ribosomal RNA, 372 nt
Filed under: uncultured organism
Description: partial 16S ribosomal RNA
Rfam family: Bacterial small subunit ribosomal RNA
Source: RNAcentral